UACGUAGGGUGCAAGCGUUGUCCGGAAUUAUUGGGCGUAAAGAGCUAGUAGGCGGUCUGUCGCGUCGGCUGUGAAAUCCCGAGGCUCAACCUCGGGUCUGCAGUCGAUACGGGCAAACUAGAGUAUUGCAGGGGAGACUGGAAUUCCUGGUGUAGCGGUGAAAUGCGCAGAUAUCAGGAGGAACACCGGUGGCGAAGGCGGGUCUCUGGGCCGAUACUGACGCUGAGGAGCGAAAGCGUGGGGAGCGAACAGG
This 253-nucleotide ribosomal RNA is filed under the name uncultured bacterium. RNAcentral's name for it is "partial 16S ribosomal RNA". It matches the Rfam family "Bacterial small subunit ribosomal RNA", at positions 524 to 776 of the family's 1533-position model. The record is from RNAcentral.